GACGAACGCUGGCGGCGUGCCUAAUACAUGCAAGUCGAACGAGAGCGACCGGUGCUUGCACUGGUCAAUCUAGUGGCGAACGGGUGAGUAACACGUGGGUAACCUGCCCAUCAGAGGGGGAUAACAUCCGGAAACGGAUGCUAAAACCGCAUAGGUCUUCGAACCGCAUGGUUUGAAGAGGAAAAGAGGCGCAAGCUUCUGCUGAUGGAUGGACCCGCGGUGCAUUAGCUAGUUGGUGAGGUAACGGCUCACCAAGGCCGUGAUGCAUAGCCGACCUGAGAGGGUGAUCGGCCACAUUGGGACUGAGACACGGCCCAAACUCCUACGGGAGGCAGCAGUAGGGAAUCUUCCGCAAUGGACGCAAGUCUGACGGAGCGACGCCGCGUGAGUGAAGAAGGUUUUCGGAUCGUAAAACUCUGUUGUUAGAGAAGAACAAGUGCUAGAGUAACUGUUAGCGCCUUGACGGUAUCUAACAAGAAAGCCACGGCUAACUACGU
RNAcentral lists this ribosomal RNA (497 nucleotides) under uncultured bacterium. RNAcentral's name for it is "partial 16S ribosomal RNA". It matches the Rfam family "Bacterial small subunit ribosomal RNA", at positions 28 to 506 of the family's 1533-position model. The record is from RNAcentral.